UACGUAGGGUGCAAGCGUUAAUCGGAAUUACUGGGCGUAAAGCGCACGUAGGCGGCUUUGUAAGUUAGAGGUGAAAGCCCGGAGCUCAACUCCGGAAUUGCCUUUAAGACUGCAUCGCUAGAAUUGUGGAGAGGUGAGUGGAAUUCCGAGUGUAGAGGUGAAAUUCGUAGAUAUUCGGAAGAACACCAGUGGCGAAGGCGACUCACUGGACACAUAUUGACGCUGAGGUGCGAAAGCGUGGGGAGCAAACAGG
This 253-nucleotide ribosomal RNA is filed under the name uncultured bacterium. RNAcentral describes it as "partial 16S ribosomal RNA". It matches the Rfam family "Bacterial small subunit ribosomal RNA", at positions 524 to 776 of the family's 1533-position model. The record is from RNAcentral.